Molecule: long non-coding RNA, 1305 nt
Organism: Oncorhynchus tshawytscha (Chinook salmon)
Lineage: Eukaryota; Metazoa; Chordata; Actinopteri; Salmoniformes; Salmonidae
Source: Ensembl
AGUCAACACACACCGUGACAUUGGGAGAGACUUGAUUCAAGAGGAUUAGAUUUGGAGUUGUUUUCCUCCUGCUAUGCACUUGUACUGUAAGCAGAGGGGACCAUAAGGAUUUAGGUUCAUAGGGGCUUGAGCUGGCACCAUCAAGAGGGGGAAAUCUUUUUCAUUUGAUACAGACAUUAAACUUUAGACAGGAAAAACUCCCUGAGGAGGAGACAUAAAAAAAUGAAACCACAAAAAGUCUGGAAGAACUUGACUCAAAAGAGGGCAUGGGUAAGGACGUUCCCCAGGGAAAUACUUACCUUCAGCAGAACUUCCAACAAUACAGGUAGGUGGCGCGGCGGUCCUUUGUGGGAAAAUGUUGUCACCAAACUGUCAUCAAAGUGGGGCUCAAAACAGGUGGGGCUCACCUGCCCUCAAUGACGGGUCACCACUGCACACUGCAUCGUUGCAGCCUUGCAGACAAGCAUCCGCCCAGUGCUGAUCAGCCUGACUGCUUACAACAACAACAAAAACUGUGUGGGAGGAAGAUAGUUAUUUUACACACACUCACUCAGCACAGGAUGAGUGUGUGUAUGAAGACGGCGAGGACCAAAGUUCUUACUCCAGCUGUCCUGCCACCCACAAAUCUCUGUGAAUUGUGGCCAGUGGGUUGAACAGGCAGAGGAAUGCUUUCAUUUUGCUGCCUAUGUAUUGGAAUGGCAACAUUAAAGGAAUUUAAAACAUGCCCCUAAUGUAUUAAUAGGCAUCUGUUUGCUAUAAGAGAGUGCUAAUUAACGGCUAUGAUUGUGGAGGAGAAAGAGAGAAACAGGGGGGUUGAGAGAGAGAGGGAGAGGUUCUGUUUCACUUGCUUUGGCAAUGUUAACAUAUGCUUCCCAUGCCAAUAAAGCCCAUUGAAUUGAGAGAGCGAGAGCCAUAAUGUUUGUAUUUAGUAUAAAUUGCUGUUUUUGUUUGGUGAUUUGAAAGGCAGGAUAAACAGAAUAAAGAAUGAACUUUUCUGUUUACAUUAGCAGAGUAGUUAGCCCCAUAUGUAUAUGCCACUUCCACUACUUGCUCCAGUCCUAUGAAAUGCAUGGAAAUGAUUAGAUGAAAAAUGUGCGCUGCGAUGGUCACAGUUAUUCUGGCAAUCAACACAGAGAAAAAUAUUCUGUAAAAAGCCUCCCUUCUUCCAUUUUCCUGCCAUUAUACCUGCGAAUUCACAUACACCCAAGUUCUUAUCUUCCUUACAUAGCCAUAUAUUCAAAUCUCAUCUUCCUAUUAUCACCAUCUACAUUUAAAUAUCUAUUCUUUAUCCAUGUACAGUCAAAC